This 77-nucleotide non-coding RNA is filed under the name Pasteurella felis. RNAcentral describes it as "Haemophilus felis Aggregatibacter sRNA 20". It matches the Rfam family "Aggregatibacter sRNA 20". From Rfam's summary of the family: Validated by RT-PCR and Northern blot. Lineage: Bacteria; Pseudomonadati; Pseudomonadota; Gammaproteobacteria; Pasteurellales; Pasteurellaceae. The record is from Rfam by way of RNAcentral.
AGAAUAAGUGCUACAAUUAGUAGCCUGAAUAUUUUGCUUUCCGAGUAGUGCCUCAUUUGAGGCACUUUUUUUAUGCC